Gasterosteus aculeatus aculeatus (three-spined stickleback) is the source of this 4134-nucleotide long non-coding RNA. NCBI's taxonomy places the organism in Eukaryota, Metazoa, Chordata, Actinopteri, Perciformes, Gasterosteidae. The record is from Ensembl.
CCAGGAGCCACGAUGUCAAGUACCAAGGAGCGUAUGCAGUGAACGCAGAUACACAUUUUGAAAGGGCGGAAGAAAAUGUUGACGCCCCCACGAAUGUGGCUGAAGUGUUUUCACAUACAAGGGAGAAUGCUGCAGAACAAGAGCACAAAGAACAUGUGGGGAACCCAGAGCAGUGUGGUCCCUGUGGCAGCAGACCGGUCACCGUGGCGAGUGUGGUAAAAAAGGCCCUUGUAUGGAGAAGUGAUGCCGAGCCUCAUUCCACUGGCCUUACAAAAGGCUAUUUCAGGGCAUAUUGAACUCUCCCACGCAAGCACAACAAUCUUGGGUAAUACGAGUGUGGAAAGAGGGCUGGACAACCAAAAGUGUGGAAUCCUGGGAAAAGCAGAGGUGUUCCUUUAGAUCACAACAUCCCACAACAGAGCAGAAACAAAGAUAAGUUAUCUUAUCACUGUGGGACACUGCGUGCAUGUGUCCAUUGGUGCUGGUUGUGCUAUUGUCACACAUUGAGACAACAUCAGAAGUGUGCCUACGGUCUCUUUAAACCACAGAAGCCCACUACACUUGAAGCUGAAGAGCUUACCCACAACGGCUGAAUGAUAUAGAGAUCAUACAAUUAUGAAGCAGCCAUAAAGGAGACAAUACAGAUCAUCGACCUGAAUGCUGCGCUGCAAUUGGCCCUGACGUCUGUCCAUAGGGGGUCUCCGCUGCUGAUUGGCCAUGACCGGUUUUGUAGAGGGGCUUCUAAUCCUCUCCACACUCUCUGUGGGUGCUCUCGGGGGCUUUUCCCACAUAAAUCAGUCUGGCCUGGGUGGUAAAGUCAUCACGUCCACUGUGUCCACAAACACUGCCUGUUAGCACCCCUAUCACAAGGAGCGUGCUAGCUCUGAAAGGCCACCGCCAUUGAAAGAAAGCCAAUGGCUGACCACGCCACACUAUGCGUAUAGGCUCUUAUUGGGAAGCCCACUUUAGCACGUUAUCCAACCCAGUCUCACAGAAAAACGUGUAAUAGCUACGUUGUGGAACGUGGUGUUGUCACGCUUUUGGGGAGAAAGCGUGACAUACAACGUUUCGUUUGUAACUAGGUCACGUGACUAUCAACUUUCCCUCAGCUCAAAAAAAAGAAAAUGGCGGACUGUCGGUCUACUAUCUGUGAAAAACACAAUAUUUUAAGAAAGCAUCAGCAUUUGUGUGCAUUUCGAUGGCAUUUCUAGCGAGAAGUAUGCGUUAUAUUUUUAUAAUCAGAGAAUGUAGAAGACCUUCCGUUUAUUAGUUUGUAGUGAGGUAGUUGCAAGGCUAUUGUAAAUGAACGGGCCAAAAUAAAACAUAGUAUUGUCACGAUUUGGGGGAGAAAGCGUGAGAAUACCACGUUGGUCCAACGUAGCUAUUACACGUUUUGCUGUGAGACUGGGUUGCGUUAUCAUAAAAAAAAAAACAUUGCCCCUGUUGUAAAGCUACCAUGAGCCUUUCAUGUCAACAUUAUCACAUGAGAGGCCUUCAAGCAGCACGCCACUUUGAGGAAAAUGUCACAUGAGCCUUACAAGCUUUUCCUAUGUAAUCUUAAUUAAUGCCCCAUUCAUAUUCUUGACUACUCACAAUAGCACGGGCACAGUUUAAAACCUCUGUUUCAUUAUUUAAUUCAUUUAAAAUUACUUGGUUACGUUAUAUCAACAAAACUACUUGAUAAGUUUAGGAAAUGAUCACGUUAUUAUGGUUACCUCUCAAGCCCUGUGUAGUUUUAAAGUGUGAAGAUUGACCAAGUGUCUAUGACGUGAGGCACUGGUAACACCCAUUUUUUGGUUCGGGUUAUACGACCUGACCAAUGGCCUUCCCUGGACCUAACCACUCAAGGUCAACGCCCGACCUCAAACAGCCACGCAGCUACAAGACUGCUCACGAGUAUGCAGACUUCUAUAUUUUAUUACAGAGGUAGUAUUUUAUGUGCGUCACACUGACCCCUGCAGUGUAUGGACAGACGUCCCUGCUGUGUGAGUGAAAAGCAGGGCCGGGUCAAGAAGGACACUGAUAGGAAGAGUCGUCUGUACCAUUUUGCCUCUCACCCAUGGGUGGUCUUCCCUUAAACGGCUUUGGUCGGCUUUCCCUCUUGACACUGCAAACGUAUAGUAUCAUUCACAUGCAGUUCUAGAUAAAAGCCCUUUUGUUGGGUAUGUGCUUCACAAUGGUGCUUGUUAUCCCAAGGUAUCGCAUGCUCAAUGGAAGGAAUUACAGAGUACUUUGUACAGCUGGGUAUACAAAAGCAGAAAGAUGGUGCUAAAAAGGAAAGUUCUAAAAUAAAUGUUUACACUAAGAUGUCCUGAUUACCACGUUCUUACGAUCACUUUGGUGUAAUUUUAACUACAGACACAUCGUACAACCACACACACACAUGUGGCAGCACACUGCAGAUAUUUUGCAAAAUAAAACACUUCAUUCAAAACUUUUCAAAAAUUGAUGGAAACCCAUUUUUGUCACUUUAUUGCACGCACAGGGUUUAUUUGGUCAAACUCUCUUUAAACCAGUUCCACAUUCCUGUGCUCAGUCUAAAACACGUUAACCAUUUAUAACUCACUAAUUAUACAGUCUAGGUUUUAUUCUACGACAAUAUUGUGAGUGUGUAGUACACACAAACCAGGCAAGCACCCAGAAGUCCAAAAGUCCAUUUUUCACUGAAAUUCGCAACAAUGUCUCUUGUCAAAACAAUAUAGUACAUAAGAAGUAAAAAUAUUAAUGGAGACAAAAAGAAAGAACGAUUAUGGUUCAAAUAAAUUGCUAACACUGCUUGGUUGGCUCCCACCUGUGGUCUUUUUACAGUGUUUACAUCCUGAUUCAGUAGGGUUCUGCUUUAUGUUUCCUUUUAGUGGGUUGGCUAUAAGCUAUAAGCAAUGCUCACAACUGUUCAAAGAGAGACACAGAGUUAUAAAUCCUGAGCUGUCGGAUCCACGUUUGCUUGAGAUUCCCACCUCGGAGUCCUGCGCAAGAACUUUGUCGCCAAGGCUUCCACUCUCACACUUUCCCUCUAGAACAAACAAACAAGGACUAAUUUCCUCUGUUUGUGUGUAUGUGUGCGUGUGACUGGGACGAGGGGGGGUAGGGGGAGAGCGAUAACGAGAAGGGAAGAUGAUUAGGAAUUCCUUAAAAUUUCAAUUUACAGACAACUGCACGAUAAAUGUCGCACAAAGGAACCAGAGGCCGUCCUUCUACUGAUCUUCGCAGGAGACGUAGUCCACUGUUCCUUUAUUUCUGAAACAAUCAAGGAAAGGUCAUGUAUCCAGAGGGAAGGGCUGGAGCAGCCACCUCCACUAAUGAGAUCAGAGAGAAAGAAGAAAAAACAGCAAUUUUCCCAAUGGCUCUUCAUUUUCCAGGGAGUCAAGCGGCACAGAUUGUAAUCCUUUCGAACAAAGCUUUUCAGCUUUUGUGGAGAACACUGGAACUCGAUCUUUCAACAUCGCUCUUUCAAGGUUUUGAUGCAGCAAAUUUAGGGUUUGAGAUUUCAUUACUGAGAGAAUUAAGCGCAGAUGAAAUACCUGGACAUUAAAAUGAUCAUCAAAAUAAUUACAUUUCUUGAUGUAUUUUUUUGGGGUUGCUGUUUCUUCGCAUGCUCUGUGAAAAUUAUUACGCAAUCAUGAUUAAUACAUUCUUUGGCAGUUUUAUUACAACACUGAGACUGGUAACAGACUCAACUUGUGAUCGUUUUGUUGUGAAAACCAUGUACAAGUCAACUGGUUUUUCAUGAAAUGAUGAAGGUCUUCAGGUUUACAAGACGUAACGUAAUUUGCAUUUGUAGACUUUCGAUAGACUGUCAUUCCCAGAGCACACUGAAAAAUCUUCUUUUGGGACCUUUUCCAACUGGAAGCCAAAAUACCGGCAACGCAUGCCAGAAUAAGCCGCCAGUGCACAUCUCCAGAGGGUGAAAGAGUUAUUUCACAACCAGAUGAAAACACAGAAUACAGCUUAUUGCACCAACUUGCAAUAUACAUAAACCAUAGUAAAUCUUUCUCCUUGCCUCUAUAGUUUUCACUUUCGUCAGGAGGCGCAGUCGGAAAAGCAGGCAUAAUCUUGAAUACGAGCAUGCAUUCAGAUUGCAUAGUUGACUGAGUUGCAAUAUAAUCCCAAGUCUGAAGAACACAGGACAAAAAC